CACGUCGAGCGGACAGAUGGGAGCUUGCUCCCUGAUGUUAGCGGCGGACGGGUGAGUAACACGUGGGUAACCUGCCUGUAAGACUGGGAUAACUCCGGGAAACCGGGGCUAAUACCGGAUGGUUGUUUGAACCGCAUGGUUCAAACAUAAAAGGUGGCUUCGGCUACCACUUACAGAUGGACCCGCGGCGCAUUAGCUAGUUGGUGAGGUAACGGCUCACCAAGGCAACGAUGCGUAGCCGACCUGAGAGGGUGAUCGGCCACACUGGGACUGAGACACGGCCCAGACUCCUACGGGAGGCAGCAGUAGGGAAUCUUCCGCAAUGGACGAAAGUCUGACGGAGCAACGCCGCGUGAGUGAUGAAGGUUUUCGGAUCGUAAAGCUCUGUUGUUAGGGAAGAACAAGUACCGUUCGAAUAGGGCGGUACCUUGACGGUACCUAACCAGAAAGCCACGGCUAACUACGUGCCAGCAGCCGCGGUAAUACGUAGGUGGCAAGCGUUGUCCGGAAUUAUUGGGCGUAAAGGGCUCGCAGGCGGUUUCUUAAGUCUGAUGUGAAAGCCCCCGGCUCAACCGGGGAGGGUCAUUGGAAACUGGGGAACUUGAGUGCAGAAGAGGAGAGUGGAAUUCCACGUGUAGCGGUGAAAUGCGUAGAGAUGUGGAGGAACACCAGUGGCGAAGGCGACUCUCUGGUCUGUAACUGACGCUGAGGAGCGAAAGCGUGGGGAGCGAACAGGAUUAGAUACCCUGUAGUCCACGCCGUAAACGAUGAGUGCUAAGUGUUAGGGGGUUUCCGCCCCUUAGUGCUGCAGCUAACGCAUUAAGCACUCCG
This 831-nucleotide ribosomal RNA is filed under the name Bacillus subtilis subsp. subtilis. RNAcentral describes it as "bacterial SSU rRNA". It matches the Rfam family "Bacterial small subunit ribosomal RNA", at positions 58 to 871 of the family's 1533-position model. The record is from RNAcentral. Lineage: Bacteria; Bacillati; Bacillota; Bacilli; Caryophanales; Bacillaceae.